GGGAAAGAACACACCUGCCAGUGCAGGUAGAUGUAAGAGACGUGGGUUCCAUUCUUGAGUCAGGCAGAGCCCUGGAGGAGGGCAUGGCAACCCACUCUAGUAUCCUUGUCUGGAGAAUUCCAUGGACAGAGGAGCCUGGCAGGCUGCCGUCUAUAGCGUCACACAGAGUUGGACACGACUGAAACAAAUUAGCACGCAUGCACAUGACCACCUCUUAAAACAGAGUGUGCUUUGCUCGGAGUCUGUUCCCCAGGGAAUCUGGCUUAUGCUAUACAACCUGUGUUAAAAUUGAAAUCAAAUGGAGACCAGUCCUGACGGUUUUCUGAGCAGACAAAACCAAUUUAGUCAUUAAUUUAGCUUAAUUACCAAUUACUGUGACGACGUUGCCGUCUCACUAUAUAAGCCGUUUAUAAUCACAUGUGCUUCUUUUUCCAUGCUCUCAUUUGGGUGCUCUCGGUUUGCAAACCAUUGUUCAGAAUGUGGGCAAUAAUUUUUAUUAGUUGCUGACUAUUGGUUUUAUUAUGAUAUGGCCACUUCUGAACCAAGGAUAUUUAAUCGUGCCUGAAGUGGGGCUCAAAGAAGACAAACCCUGCAACCUCAAGCCAGUGGGCAACCUGGCUGCUGCCUCCCGUGAGCCCUUUCUGCCUCUGUCUUCCCGCCAAGCGCAGAGUCCCUGUUUGGAUGAGUAACUGUUUCGUACUGUGGAGAGUACAGAGCCACUGCGUGCCACUGUGGCACACACAUCCCGAAUUCCCAAGUAUCUCCCGAGUCAGGAAACUGGAAAAUGAAGAAAACAAAAAAGAACUCCCAGGAAAUACCUUGAUGUUAACCAUCUUACAGUAAGGUUGUCAGGUGAGUUAGUUUCUCUUUUCACCUACUGAAAUUUUUCCCUGAAAUUCUCUCAAUGAUAUCCUCCCACACUCUAAAAACAGUGUUCAUUUCUGACUGAAAAAUCACAAACCUUUAUUAAAUUCAGACAGCUUUUGAGGUUGUAGGGCAAGCAGAGUAGAAAGGCACUUCCCUGAGACCUGGACAGUGUUGCUCAUUAGAGUGGACAUCUAGGUUAGGAAUGGUGCCACGUCAGUUGAGUGCCAGACCUCAAGAGUAUUGCAUGCAUCAGUUCAGUUCAGUCGCUCAGUCGUGUCCGACUCUUUGGGACCCCAUGGACUGCAGCACGCCAGGCUUCCCUGUCCAUCACCAACU
This 1203-nucleotide long non-coding RNA is filed under the name Bos grunniens (domestic yak). RNAcentral describes it as "lncRNA (ENSBGRG00000002293.1)". Lineage: Eukaryota; Metazoa; Chordata; Mammalia; Artiodactyla; Bovidae. The record is from RNAcentral.